CCAGGAUGUUGGCUUAGAAGCAGCCAUCAUUUAAAGAAAGCGUAAUAGCUCACUGGUCGAGUCGGCCUGCGCGGAAGAUGUAACGGGGCUAAACCAUGCACCGAAGCUGCGGCAGCGAACGUAUCACUUAAAGCGAUUCAGCGGGUUACGAUUGACGGAGCGAAGCGACGUCAAAGCGUAUACAAAGUCGAGUCGGUUUAAGGAUACGUUCGUUGGGUAGGGGAGCGUUCUGUAAGCCUG
RNAcentral lists this ribosomal RNA (240 nucleotides) under Salmonella enterica subsp. enterica serovar Derby. RNAcentral describes it as "partial 23S ribosomal RNA". It matches the Rfam family "Bacterial large subunit ribosomal RNA", at positions 1093 to 1251 of the family's 2925-position model. The record is from RNAcentral. Lineage: Bacteria; Pseudomonadati; Pseudomonadota; Gammaproteobacteria; Enterobacterales; Enterobacteriaceae.